GCAAGUAGUUGAUCGCUAUUUUAACUAAUAGAGGAAAGUCCAUGCUUGCACAAGCUGCGAUGCUUGUAGUGUUCUUGUAGGAUUAACAAAUAAAUCCUAGCACUUGUAAAAGUGACGGCCAAUGAACAACUAAAUGGUUCGUAAUAAAAUCAUAUGUUGUAAGUUGCUAAGGUGCCACAGAGACGAGUUUUAUUGGAAACAAUAAAAAUGAAACGCGGUAAACCCCAAGAGCAAGAAACCUAAAUUUUGGUAAGGGAACGAGAAUUCUUCAACUGAAAAGAAAACUUGACUGCGUAAGCAGGAGAUAAAUGAUCAACACACAAAUAAGACAGAUUAAGUAAUGCAUUAUUUGUGAACAGAACAUGGCUUACACU
This 374-nucleotide RNase P RNA is filed under the name Mycoplasmataceae bacterium. RNAcentral describes it as "RNase P RNA component class B". It matches the Rfam family "Bacterial RNase P class B". From Rfam's summary of the family: Ribonuclease P (RNase P) is a ubiquitous endoribonuclease, found in archaea, bacteria and eukarya as well as chloroplasts and mitochondria. The record is from RNAcentral. Lineage: Bacteria; Bacillati; Mycoplasmatota; Mollicutes; Mycoplasmatales; Mycoplasmataceae.